RNAcentral lists this ribosomal RNA (497 nucleotides) under uncultured bacterium. Its description in RNAcentral is "partial 16S ribosomal RNA". It matches the Rfam family "Bacterial small subunit ribosomal RNA", at positions 28 to 507 of the family's 1533-position model. The record is from RNAcentral.
GAUGAACGCUGGCGGCGUGCCUAAUACAUGCAAGUCGAGCGAACGGACGAGAAGCUUGCUCUUCUGAUGUUAGCGGCGGACGGGUGAGUAACACGUGGAUAACCUACCUAUAAGACUGGGAUAACUUCGGGAAACCGGAGCUAAUACCGGAUAAUAUUUUGAACCGCAUGGUUCAAUAGUGAAAGACGGUUUUGCUGUCACUUAUAGAUGGAUCCGCGCUGCAUUAGCUAGUUGGUAAGGUAACGGCUUACCAAGGCAACGAUGCAUAGCCGACCUGAGAGGGUGAUCGGCCACACUGGAACUGAGACACGGUCCAGACUCCUACGGGAGGCAGCAGUAGGGAAUCUUCCGCAAUGGGCGAAAGCCUGACGGAGCAACGCCGCGUGAGUGAUGAAGGUCUUCGGAUCGUAAAACUCUGUUAUUAGGGAAGAACAAAUGUGUAAGUAACUGUGCACAUCUUGACGGUACCUAAUCAGAAAGCCACGGCUAACUACGUG